UAAGUUGCAGUCAUUCGCAUUAAAGUUG
Molecule: small RNA, 28 nt
Filed under: Bombyx mori (domestic silkworm)
Lineage: Eukaryota; Metazoa; Arthropoda; Insecta; Lepidoptera; Bombycidae
Description: ovarian small RNA-19480
Source: RNAcentral